RNAcentral lists this ribosomal RNA (278 nucleotides) under uncultured soil bacterium. Its description in RNAcentral is "partial 16S ribosomal RNA". It matches the Rfam family "Bacterial small subunit ribosomal RNA", at positions 26 to 279 of the family's 1533-position model. The record is from RNAcentral.
AGAAUCAACGCUGGCGGCGUGCCUCAGACAUGCAAGUCGAACGCGAAAGUCCCCUUCGGGGGGGCAAGUAGAGUGGCGCACGGGUGAGUAACACGUAGGUAAUCUACCUUUGGAUGGGGGAAUAACAAUCGGGAAACGAUUGCUAAUACCGCAUAAUGCAGCGGCACCUAAUGGUGACAGUUAGUUAAAGCGGGGGGAUCGAAAGACCUCGCGUACUAAAGGAGGAGCCUGGCGGCGGAUUAGCUAGUUGGUAGGGUAAUGGCUUACCGAGGCUACGA